AGUCACGAUGUUGUUCAGGCUGUGUUUGGACAUGAAAGUCUCCUGGCUCAUCCUCCCAGAGGCUGGAAGCACCAGGUCUGGCUUAGGAGCCAUAUUUACAGAUGUCACCGAUCGGCCACACAAGAGCUGUGACUCUCUAACUCCAAGUAAUGUGUAAUUAUAGCAACACAAGCAUAAAAUUACCAAGGACAAGGAGCUGCAGAGUAAUUAUAUGAUUCUUUGUUACUUGGAGCUUUUUUUUUCUUUUUGAGCUGAUCCUGUUAAAAGCACCCAUUUAGUGGGUGGGCAGAAAGAGCAGGUGGCAGAUGGGCAAGAGGACUACAGACACUGACUGGACGCGCGGCUUCCAGCCUUGCAAAGGCCCCACGGCUGACAUCAGAAGGGACCUUGGACUCGCCACCCGACCUCAGGCCAGAAGGACAACACAUUCUUUCUCUGACCACUGACCCAAGCGCGUCUGUACCUGGAAGAACACAGACAGCGGGAAAGACACGGGGGACUUUCUACACCAUGACUCCGAAUGCAAAAAUGAGUUCAGUCCCGGAUGCCCAGCUCCAUGAUAGUGGGAUCCGUGUCCUCAAAUGGAGGCUACUUAUAUGCAGCUUUCAUUGUAAGAGACCAGUUGCAGAAUACACCAUGAUGUAUGUAUUUUUU
RNAcentral lists this long non-coding RNA (654 nucleotides) under Fukomys damarensis (Damara mole-rat). RNAcentral's name for it is "lncRNA (ENSFDAG00000023449.1)". The record is from RNAcentral. Lineage: Eukaryota; Metazoa; Chordata; Mammalia; Rodentia; Bathyergidae.